UGCAUUAGUAAAAGGUACCACAAUUUCAGC
RNAcentral lists this non-coding RNA (30 nucleotides) under Rattus norvegicus (Norway rat). Lineage: Eukaryota; Metazoa; Chordata; Mammalia; Rodentia; Muridae. The record is from RNAcentral.